RNAcentral lists this ribosomal RNA (942 nucleotides) under uncultured fungus. Its description in RNAcentral is "eukaryotic LSU rRNA". The stretch from base 523 to 942 matches the Rfam family "Eukaryotic large subunit ribosomal RNA", at positions 1 to 429 of the family's 3401-position model. Lineage: Eukaryota; Fungi. The record is from RNAcentral.
UCCGUAGGUGAACCUGCGGAAGGAUCAUUACCACACCGACCCUGGAUCGAUUAAUUUUUGAGAAAUGGAGUAGCGGCGUGUCGCUCCGUCAAAACAACAAACAGAACCCCCCUCCUUUGAACCCGUAUUGGUUCAGUUUAGCAUGAAAUGUAGCCAAUUGUUGGUUGUUUGUUUCCUUGAAAAGGAACAACAGCCUCAAGAAUGGAAAAGUAUCAUUACAACUUUCAGCAAUGGAUGUCUAGGUUCCCACACCGAUGAAGAACGCAGCGAAAUGCGAUACGUAAUGCGAAUUGCAAAACCUUGUGAAUCAUCAAUAUUUUGAACGCACAUUGCGCUUCCGGGAAUCUCCCGGUAGCAUGCUUGUCUGAGUGUCAGCGAAACCAUCUCAGCACGAAUGCUUGCGCGUUUGUAGCUGGUCUAUGGCGGUGGUUCCACCUCCGCUGAAAUAUUUUCAUUUUAGGUACCCGUUGAUAGACCUAUGCCUCUGGUAGAAAUCAGAUGGAUGUGGUUCGAAUUAUUUCCUGAUCUCAGCUUAAGCAAGAGGACCCGCUGAAUUUAAGCAUAUUAUUAAGCGGAGGAAAAGAAACUAACCAGGAUUCCCCCAGUAACGGCGAGUGAAGCGGGAAAAGCUCAAGCCUUAAUCGCAUCUGCGAAUUGUAGUUUAUAGGGGGUGUCAUCCCCAGACGAUUGCGGCAGUUAAAGUCCAUUUGGAACAAUGCAUCAGAGAGGGUGAAAAUCCCGUGCAACUGUCGCGUCGCUGGCGGACGCCUCCUCAGAGUCGAGUUGUUUGGGAGUACAGCUCAAAGCGGGUGGUAUAUUCCAUCUAAAGCUAAAUAUUGGCAGGAGACCGAUAGCGAACAAGUACCGUGAGGGAAAGAUGAAAAGAAACCAGAGAUGGUGGUUAAAAGUGCGUGAAAUUGUUGAAAGGGAAACGCUUGAAGU